RNAcentral lists this small RNA (437 nucleotides) under Pongo abelii (Sumatran orangutan). RNAcentral describes it as "processed transcript". The record is from RNAcentral. Lineage: Eukaryota; Metazoa; Chordata; Mammalia; Primates; Hominidae.
CAGGUAUAAGAAGAGAUUUCAUAAGUUUGAUGCAGACCAGAAAGGCUUUAUUACCAUUGUUGAUGUUCAGCGUGUAUUAGAGAGUAUCAAUGUCCAAAUGGAUGAAAAUACACUCCAUGAAAUUCUGAAUGAAGUUGAUUUAAAUAAAAAUGGACAGGUUGAACUCAAUGAAUUUUUGCAGCUGAUGAGUGCUAUUCAAAAAGGAAGGGUAUCUGGAAGCCGGCUUGCUAUACUAAUGAAAACUGCAGAAGAGAACCUCGACAGAAGAGUUCCAAUUCCAGUGGACCGUAGUUGUGGAGGAUUGUGAGUCUGGGCAGUAAAUCCACAGCCAACAAACAUAGAAACGACAAAUCACCAUGUAACAACCAGAGAUGACUGAAACCACUCUAAAAUAAUGAAUGUGGAUAGCUGCCUUUUUUAACACUAGAAAACAUUCC